UUUAAUUCGAUGAUACGCGAGGAACCUUACCUGGGCUAGAAUGCUGGUGGACCGAUAGUGAAAGCUAUCUUUGUAGCAAUACACCGCCAGUAAGGUGCUGCAUGGCUGUCGUCAGCUCGUGCCGUGAGGUGUUGGGUUAAGUCCCGCAACGAGCGCAACCCCCAUCACUAGUUGCCAUCAGGUAACGCUGGGAACUCUAGUGAGACUGCCGUCGUAAGACGCGAGGAAGGAGGGGAUGAUGUCAAGUCAUCAUGGCCUUUAUGCCCAGGGCUACACACGUGCUACAAUGGGGCGUACAAAGGGCUGCCACUUAGCGAUAAGGAGCCAAUCCCAAAAAACGCCUCUCAGUUCAGAUUGGAGUCUGCAACUCGACUCCAUGAAGCUGGAAUCGCUAGUAAUCGUAUAUCAGCAAUGAUA
RNAcentral lists this ribosomal RNA (417 nucleotides) under uncultured bacterium. RNAcentral describes it as "bacterial SSU rRNA". It matches the Rfam family "Bacterial small subunit ribosomal RNA", at positions 945 to 1359 of the family's 1533-position model. The record is from RNAcentral.